UUUUAUGAGAGUUUGAUCCUGGCUCAGGACGAACGCUGGCGGCGUGCCUAANUACAUGCAAGUCGAACGCUUCUUUUUCCAACGGAGCUUGCUCCACCGGAAAAAGAAGAGUGGCGAACGGGUGAGUAACACGUGGGUAACCUGCCCAUCAGAAGGGGAUAACACUUGGAAACAGGUGCUAAUACCGUAUAACAAUCRAAACCGCAUGGUUUUGAUUUGAAAGGCGCUUUCGGGUGUCGCUGAUGGAUGGACCCGCGGUGCAUUAGCUAGUUGGUGAGGUAACGGCUCACCAAGGCCACGAUGCAUAGCCG
RNAcentral lists this ribosomal RNA (311 nucleotides) under Enterococcus faecium. Its description in RNAcentral is "bacterial SSU rRNA". It matches the Rfam family "Bacterial small subunit ribosomal RNA", at positions 1 to 289 of the family's 1533-position model. The record is from RNAcentral. Lineage: Bacteria; Bacillati; Bacillota; Bacilli; Lactobacillales; Enterococcaceae.